RNAcentral lists this ribosomal RNA (209 nucleotides) under uncultured bacterium. RNAcentral's name for it is "partial 16S ribosomal RNA". It matches the Rfam family "Bacterial small subunit ribosomal RNA", at positions 524 to 732 of the family's 1533-position model. The record is from RNAcentral.
UACAGAGGGUGCAAGCGUUAAUCGGAAUUACUGGGCGUAAAGCGUGCGUAGACGGUUACAUAAGUCGGGUGUGAAAGCCCCGGGCUCAACCUGGGAAUUGCAUUCGAGACUGCGUAGCUAGGGUGCGGAAGAGGGAAGCGGAAUUUCCGGUGUAGCGGUGAAAUGCGUAGAGAUGUGGAGGAACACCAAUGGCGAAGGCAGCCUUCUGG